GGUUAAGCGACUAAGCGUACACGGUGGAUGCCCUGGCAGUCAGAGGCGAUGAAGGACGUGCUAAUCUGCGAUAAGCGUCGGUGAGGUGAUAUGAACCGUUAUAACCGGCGAUUUCCGAAUGGGGAAACCCAGUGUGUUUCGACACACUAUCAUUAACUGAAUCCAUAGGUUAAUGAGGCGAACCGGGGGAACUGAAACAUCUAAGUACCCCGAGGAAAAGAAAUCAACCGAGAUUCCCCCAGUAGCGGCGAGCGAACGGGGAGGAGCCCAGAGCCUGAAUCAGUGUGUGUGUUAGUGGAAGCGUCUGGAAAGGCGCGCGAUACAGGGUGACAGCCCCGUACACAAAAAUGCACAUGCUGUGAGCUCGAUGAGUAGGGCGGGACACGUGGUAUCCUGUCUGAAUAUGGGGGGACCAUCCUCCAAGGCUAAAUACUCCUGACUGACCGAUAGUGAACCAGUACCGUGAGGGAAAGGCGAAAAGAACCCCGGCGAGGGGAGUGAAAAAGAACCUGAAACCGUGUACGUACAAGCAGUGGGAGCCUCUUUAUGGGGUGACUGCGUACCUUUUGUAUAAUGGGUCAGCGACUUAUAUUCUGUAGCAAGGUUAACCGAAUAGGGGAGCC
Molecule: ribosomal RNA, 623 nt
Filed under: Escherichia coli
Lineage: Bacteria; Pseudomonadati; Pseudomonadota; Gammaproteobacteria; Enterobacterales; Enterobacteriaceae
Description: partial 23S ribosomal RNA
Rfam family: Bacterial large subunit ribosomal RNA
Source: RNAcentral